This 449-nucleotide ribosomal RNA is filed under the name uncultured bacterium. Its description in RNAcentral is "partial 16S ribosomal RNA". It matches the Rfam family "Bacterial small subunit ribosomal RNA", at positions 29 to 523 of the family's 1533-position model. The record is from RNAcentral.
AACGAACGCUGGCGGCAGGCCUAACACAUGCAAGUCGAACGCCCUGGCAACAGGGAGUGGCAGACGGGUGAGUAACGCGUGGGAACGUGCCCUUCGGUUCGGAAUAACUCAGGGAAACUUGAGCUAAUACCGAAUACGUGUGAGAGCAGAAAGAUUUAUCGCCGAAGGAACGGCCCGCGUCCGAUUACGUAGUUGGUGAGGUAAUGGCUCACCAAGGCGACGAACGGUAGCUGGUCUGAGAGGAUGAUCAGCCACACUGGGACUGAGACACGGCCCAGACUCCUACGGGAGGCAGCAGUGGGGAAUAUUGGACAAUGGGCGCAAGCCUGAUCCAGCCAUGCCGCGUGAGUGAUGAAGGCCCUAGGGUUGUAAAGCUCUUUCGCCAGGGACGAUAAUGACGGUACCUGGAUAAGAAGCCCCGGCUAACUUCGUGCCAGCAGCCGCAGUAA